GACGAACGCUGGCUGCGUGCUUAACACAUGCAAGUCGAACGCUGAAGCCCCAGCUUGCUGGGGUGGAUGAGUGGCGAACGGGUGAGUAACACGUGAGUAACCUGCCCCUGACUUCGGGAUAAGCCCGGGAAACUGGGUCUAAUACCGGAUACGACUAUCGGACGCAUGUCUGGUGGUGGAAAGUUUUUUCGGUUGGAGAUGGGCUCGCGGCCUAUCAGUUUGUUGGUGAGGUAAUGGCUCACCAAGACGACGACGGGUAGCCGGCCUGAGAGGGCGACCGGCCACACUGGGACUGAGACACGGCCCAGACUCCGACGGGAGGCAGCAGUGGGGAAUAUUGCACAAUGGGGGAAACCCUGAUGCAGCGACGCAGCGUGCGGGAUGACGGCCUUCGGGCUGUAAACCGCUUUCAGCAGGGAAGAAGCCUUCGGGUGACGGUACCUGCAGAAGAAGUACCGGCUAACUACGUG
This 470-nucleotide ribosomal RNA is filed under the name uncultured bacterium. RNAcentral's name for it is "partial 16S ribosomal RNA". It matches the Rfam family "Bacterial small subunit ribosomal RNA", at positions 28 to 507 of the family's 1533-position model. The record is from RNAcentral.